Molecule: unclassified non-coding RNA, 337 nt
Filed under: soil metagenome
Description: partial contains 5.8S ribosomal RNA, internal transcribed spacer 2, and large subunit ribosomal RNA
Rfam family: 5.8S ribosomal RNA (bases 1-120)
Source: RNAcentral
GAUGAAGAACGCAUCGAAAUGCGAUAAGUAGUGUGAAUUGCAGAAUUCAGUGAAUCAUCGAAUCUUUGAACGCACAUUGCGCCCCUUGGUAUUCCAUGGGGCAUGCCUGUUCGAGCGUCAUUUGUACCCUCAAGCUUUGCUUGGUGUUGGGUGUUUGUCCCGCGUUGCGCGUGGACUCGCCUUAAAGCGAUUGGCAGCCGGCAUAUUGGCCUUGGAGCGCAGCACAUUUUGCGCUUCUAGUCAUGAAUGUUGGCGUCCAUUAAGCCUAUACAUUUGCUCUUGACCUCGGAUCAGGUAGGGAUACCCGCUGAACUUAAGCAUAUCAAUAAGCGGAGGA